CACCAGGACCUUGCUUCGAACAAACCUAUCUUUUCUCUCAAAAAUGCAGGGAGGACAUAUGGAAGUUGAAGAGCCUCUUAGGCUCUCCUCAGUGCUAACUUCUUCAAAACCUAGCCAUUUGCCUUCGCUAACCAAAUUAGUUGGAACACUUGGACCAAAUUCGCGGUCUGUUGAAACCAUUGAGGCAUGUCUAAAUGCAGGAAUGUCAGUUGCACGGUUCGACUUUUCAUGGUUAGAUAGUGACUACCACCAAGAAACUCUUCAGAAUUUGAGGCUAGCUAUGAAAAAUGCUAAGAAACUAUGUGCUGUUAUGCUGGAUACUGUAGGCCCAGAAAUUCCAAUUUGUAACCAGAAUGGGAAACCAAUUGAGCUGAAGGCUGAUGACCAUAUAACUAUUACUUCAGAUGUUUCUAGAGAACCAUCAGCAGAGUUUUUACCCGUAGAUUAUUCUGGACUCUCCAAGAUUCUGAAGAAGGGCGACACUGUUUUUCUUGGUCAGUAUCUCUUCACAGGAAGUGAAAACACCUCUGUAUGGCUUGAGGUUUUAGAGACAAAUGGCCAAGAUGUCAUGUGUCUCAUAAAAAACACUGCCACUCUUGCGGGCUUUAUAUUAAUGCAUGUUUCUCAAGUGUAUGAAAGUUUGCCAAAUUUAAGUGAUAAGGAUAAAAAGGUUAUUUCGGAGUGGGG
RNAcentral lists this unclassified non-coding RNA (687 nucleotides) under Hevea brasiliensis (rubber tree). Lineage: Eukaryota; Viridiplantae; Streptophyta; Magnoliopsida; Malpighiales; Euphorbiaceae. The record is from RNAcentral.